RNAcentral lists this ribosomal RNA (492 nucleotides) under uncultured bacterium. RNAcentral's name for it is "bacterial SSU rRNA". It matches the Rfam family "Bacterial small subunit ribosomal RNA", at positions 29 to 507 of the family's 1533-position model. The record is from RNAcentral.
AACAAACGCUGGCGGCGUGUCUUAAGCAUGCAAGUUGAGCGGCAAGGAGGAGAGAUCCUCCCUAGAGCGGCGGACUGGUGAGUAACGCGUGGGUAAUCUAUCGUAGGCAUGGGGAUAGUCACUAGAAAUAGUGGGUAAUACCGAAUACGUUCCAUGAGGGAGUAUUCAUGGAAGAAAGGGUGCUACGGCACUGGCCUUAGGUGAGCUCGCGUCCCAUUAGCUAGUUGGUGAGGUAAAGGCCCACCAAGGCGAUGGUGGGUAGCCGGCCUGAGAGGGUGUACGGCCACACUGGGACUGAGAUACGGCCCAGACUCCUACGGGAGGCAGCAGUCGAGAAUAGUCUACAAUGGCCGGAAGGCUGAUAGUGCGACGCCGCGUGAACGAGGGAGCCCUUCGGGGUGUAAAGUUCUUUUCUAUACGAGCAGUGCUAUAUAUAUGGAUAGUAUAUAUAGAGGGAUAGUAGUAUAGGAAUAAGCAACGGCUAACUCCGUG